This 737-nucleotide ribosomal RNA is filed under the name uncultured bacterium. RNAcentral describes it as "bacterial SSU rRNA". The stretch from base 1 to 423 matches the Rfam family "Bacterial small subunit ribosomal RNA", at positions 338 to 873 of the family's 1533-position model. The record is from RNAcentral.
CCUACGGGAGGCAGCAGUAAGGAAUAUUGGUCAAUGGAGGCAACUCUGAACCAGCCAUGCCGCGUGCAGGAUGAAGGCCCUAUGGGUCGUAAACUGCUUUUGUACCAGAGAAAACCCGAGUACGUGUACUCGGUUGAUAGUAUGGUAAGAAUAAGCAUCGGCUAACUUCGUGCCAGCAGCCGCGGUAAGACGAAGGAUGCAAGCGUUAUCCGGAUUCAUUGGGUUUAAAGGGUGCGUAGGCGGACUGAUAAGUCAGUGGUGAAAUCUCUCGGCUUAACCGAGAAACUGCCAUUGAUACUGUCAGUCUAGAGUACAGAUGAUGUGGGCGGAAUAUGACAUGUAGCGGUGAAAUGCUUAGAUAUGUCAUAGAACACCGAUUGCGAAGGCAGCUCACAAACGUACGUAACGUAACGUACGACCGUCGUAGGACGGACCGAAAACGGUAAAGGUCGGGGGACGGGGUACUAAACCAAAACGGAAGGUUAAGUUAAGUAACCCUUACCCGGUUAGGGUACCGUCCGACCCGUAAACCGGUAAACGUAGAUUACUUACGUUCGUUUGGUUCGUAUAAUAGUACCGUACCGACGACGACCGAACGACGAAACGAACGGAGUAAGUAAAGUUAACAACCCUCCGGGAGGUACGGACCGGCCGGACCGGUACGGAAACGUUAAAACGUUAAGUAAAGUUAAGGUUACGUUGGAGAGAGCGACGACGACGACGACGGAGGGAGGAGG